UGGGCUGACUAUGUCGACAAGAAGGUCAGUUAAUCAUUAGAUUAGGCCCUCUAAUUAAAUUCAUUUUCUUUAUCUAUAGAUUCUUUGAGAUUGUUGGAUUUAAGAAUUCUACUUCUGGGAUUUUGACAUAUGCAUGAAACUAAUAUUAGCUUAAUUUAUCAUACUUUCCUUGCAAUGGUUUCCACAGAUUUUCGGUAUAGGAUCGUCGA
RNAcentral lists this unclassified non-coding RNA (209 nucleotides) under Hevea brasiliensis (rubber tree). Lineage: Eukaryota; Viridiplantae; Streptophyta; Magnoliopsida; Malpighiales; Euphorbiaceae. The record is from RNAcentral.